Thalassophryne amazonica is the source of this 194-nucleotide long non-coding RNA. RefSeq lists it as uncharacterized. The record is from RefSeq and is a predicted model, not a curated record. NCBI's taxonomy places the organism in Eukaryota, Metazoa, Chordata, Actinopteri, Batrachoidiformes, Batrachoididae. The transcript has 3 exons.
ACAAGAAAGCUGAUCAAGGUGUUUCACACAAGUAAGGUGCAACCUUACCAAUCCCUAGAGCAAGUACACAGGCGCCAGUGGUAAGGAAAGACUUCCUCUGAGGAUACUGAGGAAAAAACUUCAAGCAGACCAGACUCAAAGGGGUGACCCACUGCUUAGGUCAUUUUAACAGUUACAAGCUGAAAAAACAGGAA